CUAGCCCUGUGUUUACAAAAGUUGAUAAAAACCCACGCGGGAAAAGCAGCGAUAACACACGUCCCGGCUGAAUGGCGGGGGAAAUGAGGGGGUUUUUCCCCGUCGCACAUCAGAUCAAGGGCGCUGUCAAUCCGGGGUGGCCCAGGGGAAGCUCUCCAGCCUCUCGGAGGCAGCGGCAGCUACCGCAGGCUGCGGCCGCCGAGAGAGCGCCCGGUGCCGGCUCUGCCCCUCGGGCAAGCGGGACCUCUGCCCGCUCCUCUGCCGCUCCCGUCCCGCCUGCUCCAUCCUCCAAAGAUCCCUUCGCUUCUCUCCCCAGACCCUCUCCGGUGUGGGCAGGAGAGAGGGGGCUUCCCGUGUUGUUGCUGUCCCUCAGGAGGGCACAGCUCAGUGGCAGGGUCGGAAAGUUGCUUGUAAACCAGGAUCUCUUCUUUAAAUGCGGGUGAUCCACAGCCUUCCGAGAGAAGUUGACCCCUGCGUGUUGGGCUGUAGAGUGACCAGACAGAAGCUGAUGUCCUCCUGCCACACGAAGGAGCCUGGAAUCCAUAGACUGGAUUGUUAAACUACAGGGGUACUUGCAUGCCUUUUACUCUUCUGAAGCAGGGCCCACACUCAAUCUUUUUAGAAAUUACCCCUUGAAUGGUAUAAACGUGGACCUUCAUGUCUUGUUUGGUGUGGAUCAAAGAAAUUGUUUAUUUAAUGUGGCCAUUAUUUCUUGGAGCCCCUCGGGGAACUGUGAAUUUCCAAAGGUCUUUCAGCAGCCCUUGCUGGUACCUCUCCAAGAAGGGAGGUAUUGAAAACACUCACAGCACCCAAAAUUGUGAAUAAAACAUGCAAUAUUUUUUGAAAUAAAAAUUGUGAAUAAAACAUGGGGUUUUUUGCCCUCUAGAUACUCACCACCAUGCUAGGAAUAAAGAACUUGGUAAUGCUAUCAACAUCAGCUCUGGAUGUCAUGUAAGAUAUUGUGCCAGGAUACUGACAGGUGAUGAUACAGCUCUUCCUUGCACAUUUUAUUUUAUGCCUUACAUGGUUCUCAUGGAAGCUUUUACACUUAGAUCACCAGCCUCUUUGAUUGAUGUUUUAACAAGUAUCUUCUCAGAUCUAGUUUUUCUGAACUCCUGAUAUAUGACUUUACUUAGUAGCUGUAUGAACCUCAGUAAAGUCACUGCUGUCUAAUACAGACCAAUAUCACACUUGAAAGGGCAGUUCAAAAGGAUAGAAUCAUAAAACCACAGAGUGGCUUGUGUUGGGAGGGACCUCAAAGAUAAUCUAGUUCCAGCCUCUCAAAGAAGUCUGGCUGCUCCCAGCUGAGAGAUUUUUUUGGUGAAAAAGGAGGGUUAAAGUCUUUGCUUCCCGGUGACACUGGCAGGGAUGUUAGAACCAGAAAAAUUUCUCAUUUAACUACAAGUAAUUAGUUGUGAUUGUACAGAUUCCUAGCAUGACAUAAGAAAGCCCCAAUACCAGUGAUAGCUGCUAUGCCUCUUGUGAGAGUCUAGGUGAACCUCUUAACCUUUCAGGACAAGGUUUGUGCUGACUAUUUCGACAAAGUAUCAAAGCCUGUUAUCCAUAAGAAAAAAGAGUUUAAUUUCCAAAGGCUUUUUGCUUUAGAUGGUGACAUCUUAAGAAUUUCAGCUACAAAUUCUGGUAUUCUGUGCAAAUUACCAGAAGUGUGCUGGAAUUUGCUCUGAGGACAAGGACGUCUUUGAUCACCACAUAACAUCGAUUUGGUGUAUCAUGGAGGAGUGCAACACUUGCAAAAUGUAGCUGCAGAGUAGCACACAAGGGACUCCUGGGUGUCCAAGGGAAUUAGGGGAUUACUGGCUGAUGCUACAACUGCCCAAGUGUCUGGGGAAAUCUUGUUCAAGCCAAUUAAUAACAAAGAAAUUGAGCUGCCCAAGGACAGAGAGGAAGGCAGGGCAGAGAGGAGCUACCCUCACAUUAGCAAGCCCACAACUCAUGAAUCUUCACAGAUACAAAGGCUAAACUCAAAGGAAGGCAGGCCAGUGGUUCAGCAGCCAAGUGCCCUCCCCUCCAGGUCACUCUUCCAGCUGGUACAGGUGACAAGGCCAGCUGCUCCACUUUGCUGUGGUGAAAAGACCUCAGUGGAAAUUCACCAGGGGGAAAAUGGAUGGAUUCAGGAUACUGUUGAUUUGUAAAAAGCAUUCCAACAACUAAAUAUGAACAGUCAGGAUUUACACAUCAGGCUCAAUUUGUGGUUGCCCAGAGGCUGUGGAAGCAAGUCAUUACCAGAAUGUAGCUGGUGCAGUCACUAAGGUAAAAUUGAAGCUGAGAGCUCUAGCUAGGUGAGGGAGAGGCAAUUCAGUUAUUCUGUCAUGCCUUCAGCUACAAUCCAAUUUCAGAAUAACAGUACAUCUUUUGCAGUUGAAGAAUAGGCAUCUUAACAUAACAACAAUCACAUAUUACCUGUGAUGUGUCUGGAAAGCACCAAAUGUUCUUUUCAUAGGAUUACCCUUCCCCACUUCCUUGCCAGCUGCAUUAGGUUAGGAGAAGGAAGGAGCAGCAGCUAGCAGAGAUGAAGGCAUCAAGUGCCUUCUAGCAGUGGAGGGAAGAAGGGGAAUUUGUAAGGUGCAGCUAGUUUUCAGAGUGGAGAUAGGAUGAAGCAAGGAGAAACUGUAAUAAUCUGACCUUUGUGCUGCUUAGAUUCAGGUUUUCUGACACAGAUCUUUCCUCUGUGAGAGCCUUGUUGCUAUGAGUGAGACGUUGAAAACUAUUAUCUCUAGCUCAUUCUUGAUUUUGUCUUUUGUUCAUGUCUGUGGUUGAAGUAUUCUUGACCUUAGCUGGCUGGAUUUAUUCAUGUGCAGUCAGACACGAGAGUACGUUUUUAGCAUGAAUGAAGAUUGGAGAGAUGAACAGAGUCAGGUGGCUUGUGCUUUUCUUUAGUCUAUUUUGGAUACUUGUUUUGUCUUAAAACUAGAGGGUUUAUGUUUUCAAGUGCUGUUUUUGAGCAGUUAAAGUCUCCUUGAGCUAGUGGGACUUUUGUUCUCAUAUAUCUCAUUCAUUAACAACCCUUGGGCUCCUGAGUUUCAGGUCGCAGCAAUAUUUUGUGAUAAUCAGCUGAGUAGUGGUUGCGCCUGGCAUCAGAGCCUUUGUUUGGGAGUUUUGUAAUUGUUUUAGGCAUUUUGUGUGUGUGUGUUCCUGCAAAGCCCAGAAAGAUGGUGGAAGCUGAGUGAAUUUGUGCAGCCAGGGAAGAAGGCUGCUUAGGCACCAUGGGGUCUCUGUUCUGGUCUCCAGACAACAAACAGCUAAGUUUUCCUGAAUGAUACAAAGUCAUUCUUCAUUACUUCAUCCCUCCUGACUUCCUGGGACAGUAAAUCCAAUCCCAUCUGUCUUCGCUGUGGCUUUGUCCCACAUUCUCCCCAUGUGUGAUAUAUCAAGGGUGAUAUGCAAAUCUCAUUAUUUCAGUGUAUAUAUUGGUCCUUCG
Molecule: long non-coding RNA, 3439 nt
Organism: Taeniopygia guttata (zebra finch)
Lineage: Eukaryota; Metazoa; Chordata; Aves; Passeriformes; Estrildidae
Source: Ensembl